RNAcentral lists this unclassified non-coding RNA (1809 nucleotides) under Hevea brasiliensis (rubber tree). The record is from RNAcentral. Lineage: Eukaryota; Viridiplantae; Streptophyta; Magnoliopsida; Malpighiales; Euphorbiaceae.
CUUGAUGGUUAUAGUGUUUCAUAUUCUGCUCGGACUUUUAUUGUGGAGCUAUUUUAGAGUAGUAUUGAAGGACCCUGGUUCAGUCCCUGAGAAUUGGAGGCCAGAGCGGUUGGAGGAGAAUUUGGAGGGAGGUAGCUGUAUCAAUGAGUCGGAUUUUAGAGCACCUGAGAAUUUGGGUUCUACAUGGUCUGGGCCUGCUGGGUUGGAUAGGGGACCACAUGUGGGCUAUUGCAAUCACUGCCAGAACGGCAAACCGCCGCGUUGCCAUCAUUGCUCUGUUUGCCAAAGAUGUGUUCUGAAGAUGGAUCACCAUUGUGUUUGGGUGGUCAAUUGCGUUGGAGCCCGUAACUACAAGUUUUUUCUUCUUUUCUUGCUAUACACAUUUUUGGAGACAACAAUGAAUACUCUAGUAUUAUUGCCUGGUUUUAUCAAGUUCUUUGAUGAAGCCAAAAAUCAUUCCAGCUCCCCUGGCAAUCUAGCAGUAACUUUUUUGGCCUUUGAUUGUGUACCUUGAUGCAGUUCUUAAUUUGGCUUUUGCUCUCAGUCUUCUUUGUUUCAUAUUUAUGCAUGCAUCUCUUCUGUCAAGCAACACCACAUCUGUAGAGGUUUAUGAGAAGAAAGGAGCAGCUAGGUGGAAGUAUGACUUAGGCAGGAAGCAGAAUUUUGAACAGGUAGUCUUUUCCAUUUUUUUUUAUAUACGAUAUAAGAUUUUCUGUCAUCUUUCAAAUAAUAAAUGCAUGAUUUAAGAUUCUCUGUUAUCUUGCAUAGUUUAUGUAUAAUUGCUAUCUAUGGGAUUAUACUGGUUGAUUGUACCUGUGAGUUGUUGAUAUGUGAUUGCAAGAAUUGCAAUUAAAGACACAGUGCUUCCAUUUGGUUGGGGGUGACUAGGCUAGGGAACUUCAAGUUCCUAGGAAGUGUGAAAAUCUAUCUUGUUUGGUUGGCAUUUUAUUUCAACAUCCUAAGGAAAUAACUUACCCUCAUACUUCAUAAGAAGUGAAGUUCCUAGGAAGUAGAGAAUUUGAACCAAAUAAGGCCUUAGUUACAGGGAAUUUGUAGAACUUGAGGUUUGGAGUUGGUAGAAAUUGAAACUUGGCCUCUUCUCCCUUCAUUAUUUAUUUAUUUAUUCUUUGGGAUAAUGACAUUUUGGGUGCCUAAACUUUAUAGUGAAGUUGAGUGAAUUGGAAAAAAAGAAAAAUGUCAAUUGACUGCAUGGCUCAACUGACACAUGGACUCCUUUAAUUAAAUGAGAAUUCUAAUUGCACAUGCUUAAGAUUGUGAGAAGACUACUUUGGAAAAAUCUUAGAAAUCCAUGGUGAAAAAGCAGAUUUUUUUUUCAAUGUGAUGGGUACAUAUUUUUUCAAAAAAAUAAAGAUAGUCCACAUGCUUGCUGAUGUGGAAAGUAGAGUAUUUUUUUUAUUAUUUUAGUUCAUCUUGGCAUUUUAGGUAACUAGGAAAGUACAAACCCAUUCCAAUUUCAUUGCAAUUUUUUUUCCCUUGCGCACUUGAUUCCUUCAAGCAAAAAAAAUAAAGAACAAAAAAAGAGAGAAGAAUUUUAAGCAUUCAAAUAGAAAAUGCUUGAGUGUUUAGGCACUCAAAAUGUCUAUAUCCAUUCUUGUGGCUUCUUGCUUGUGACCCUUUUUAAGCGUAACUUUAACUUUUGUAUUGGUAGAAAUCAUGUAAUUAAAUGGUUACUUGAUUUUUAAUAAAAUCUUCCGGUCAAUUUGAAGCCAUUCUUCCUUCUAGAUGUGAUAUCAUGUUCUUAUGGUAUCUGUCCUAUUUUUCUUUUAGGUUUUUGGCAGAAAGAAGGCA